Molecule: long non-coding RNA, 1561 nt
Organism: Bos taurus (domestic cattle)
Lineage: Eukaryota; Metazoa; Chordata; Mammalia; Artiodactyla; Bovidae
Source: Ensembl
GGAUACGAGCUCAGGAUGUGGGCUAGGGGUAUAGGCUACAGAUGCAGGUUUGGGGUCAGGAUGCGGGCUGGAGAUGUAGUCUAGGCCUGUAGGCUAUGGAUGUGGGCUAGGGAUGCAGGUCACAGAUGCUGAGACAUACAACAAGGGGCCCUCACAUGAGAAAAUGUCUUCUUCUUCUGCAACAGAGAAGCUUCUCUUUCCUGAAAGUGAUUGUUGGAUUCCUUACAUUUUAGAAACAGCUACAAUUUCAGCAAGUGGACUCCGUGUUGUUUGCAUUUCUGAACGGUUACCCCUCACUGGCCCACUGCUGGAGCCACCAGGAAGUUGGCCAGAGAGGUCUGCGGAGCCCUGUGGAACACCAGCCAGGACACUCAUCACCACCUGUCCCAGUGAGUGAUGGAGACCCGCACUCAGAGGAAAUAAGCUGCUACACUGACCACAGUCCCUGAAGAUUUUUAUCUUGAUUCAUCUCAUAAAACUGUCUCAGCAGCACACUCAGCCUGACAAGAUCCCUCAUUACCAAGCGAUGUUGCAACUUCCCAGUGGCUUCCUCUUCAUCUCCUCUCAAAACUCAUCACAAGGGCUCCUUAUCUUCUGGUGUCAUUUCCGCCCUCAGUGUUGUCAACAAGCCCGCGAGGAGGCGCUGUUACCUCCAGGAGGCAAAACGCCCAGGAUCCACCCACGGAACUCCACCCUGUGAAACGCUUCAGAAUCGCUCCGUUCUCGCUCAUGCGCCCUUUCUUCCAGAUGAAGGUUUGGAUCCACAUUUCUCUCUGGAGAGUCUCUGCUGGGUGCUCAGCCCCAGCUGCGUUUAGAGAGCAGUUUAACAGACGCCGAGCAUCAUGGCUUCCAUCCAGGGCCAUUAGAAAACCCAUCUUUCCAGGACACCCCUCAGACUUCCAGGAUCCCAGAUGGGACUCGCCUGGACGUGCCUACCUUUCCCAGGCAGCUGCCCGUCUUUGCUGUGAAAGUACCACCGCGCCCAGGACGGCACGUGUGCGCCCGGUCCCCAGGGGGCUGUUCUCGUUUAUCCCCACGUGCAGCGCCAGCUUUAGUUCUUCCUCCAGCGCUGAGCAGUUGUGUCUCAGCCCCCCGGCCCUCGCCCCUCCCCUCUCCCUGCGCCCCUCACCACGUCUUGCCCAGGCCUUGGUCUGUUCCUUCCAUUUGUCACCUGCUCUGUCCCCCCACCCACGGCAGAUGAGCACUAGGCGGCGUGGCUUGGUGCUCACGCUGCAGUCCCCAGGGCGCGGUUGUGAUUCACAGGAAGAGCCUCAGCUCAUCAGCACCCUUAUCGUCCCUCUGACUGCACGUUCACCCGCCCCACUGAGCGACUGUCUCAGCUCUCCUAGGUUACGAUGGGAAACCAACGACUGUUUGCAUGAAUAACUAGGCAAUACUGGUCCCAUGAAGCUCCCUGACUGCGGGCACGAUCCAUCGUGAGUGUUUAAAGCUGCCUCUCGGUGUUCCGUAUGGUCUGUAUUUCUGCAUAUCUAUCCUUCAACCUCUGUUACUCAUUAUAUCCUUGGUUUCACUAAAAUUUUACACCUUUUGUGUUUCACAU